AAAAGAGGGGACAUUAUGAAAGGAGAGAGGUAAAACAGAGUAUGGAGAAGAGAGGGGACAUUAUGAAAGGAGAGAGGUAAAGAGAGUAUAGAGAAAAGAGGGGACAUUAUGAAAGGAGAGAGGUAAAAGAGGAUAUGGAGAAAAGAGGGGACAUUAUGAAAGGAGAGAGGUAAAAGAGGAUAUGGAGAAAAGAGGGGACAUGAAAGGAGAGAGGUAAAGAGAGUAUGGAGAAGAGAGGGGACAUUAUGAAAGGAGAGAGGUAAAGAGAGUAUAGAGAAAAGAGGGGACAUUUUGAAAGGAGAGCGGUAAAGAGAGUAUGGAGAAAAGAGGGGACAUUAUGAAAGGAGAGAGGUAAAAGAGAGUAUGGAGAAAGGAGGGGACAUUAUGAAAGGAGAGAGGUAAAAGAGAGUAUGGAGAAAAGAGGGGACAUUAUGAAAGGAGAGAGGUAAAACAGAGUAUGGAGAAAAGAGGGGACAUUAUGAAAGGAGAGAGGUAAAACAGAGUAUGGAGAAAAGAGGGGACAUUAUGAAAGGAGAGAGGUAAAACAGAG
Molecule: long non-coding RNA, 550 nt
Organism: Oncorhynchus tshawytscha (Chinook salmon)
Lineage: Eukaryota; Metazoa; Chordata; Actinopteri; Salmoniformes; Salmonidae
Source: Ensembl